GCAGUCGAGGGGCUCAGGAAGAAGCUUGCUUUCUUUGCUGGCGACCGGCGCACGGGUGAGUAACACGUAUCCAACCUGCCCUUUACUCGGGGAUAGCCUUUCGAAAGAAAGAUUAAUACCCGAUAGCAUAAUGAUUCCGCAUGGUUUCAUUAUUAAAGGAUUCCGGUAAAGGAUGGGGAUGCGUUCCAUUAGGUUGUUGGUGAGGUAACGGCUCACCAAGCCUUCGAUGGAUAGGGGUUCUGAGAGGAAGGUCCCCCACAUUGGAACUGAGACACGGUCCAAACUCCUACGGGAGGCAGCAGUGAGGAAUAUUGGUCAAUGGGCGGUAGCCUGAACCAGCCAAGUAGCGUGAAGGAUGAAGGCUCUAUGGGUCGUAAACUUCUUUUAUAUAAGAAUAAAGUGCAGUAUGUAUACUGUUUUGUAUGUAUUAUAUGAAUAAGGAUCGGCUAACUCCGUGCCAGCAGCCGCGGUAAUACGGAGGAUCCGAGCGUUAUCCGGAUUUAUUGGGUUUAAAGGGAGCGUAGGUGGACUGGUAAGUCAGUUGUGAAAGUUUGCGGCUCAACCGUAAAAUUGCAGUUGAUACUGUCAGUCUUGAGUACAGUAGAGGUGGGCGGAAUUCGUGGUGUAGCGGUGAAAUGCUUAGAUAUCACGAAGAACUCCGAUUGCGAAGGCAGCUCACUGGACUGCAACUGACACUGAUGCUCGAAAGUGUGGGUAUCAAACAGGAUUAGAUACCCUGGUAGUCCACACAGUAAACGAUGAAUACUCGCUGUUUGCGAUAUACAGUAAGCGGCCAAGCGAAAGCAUUAAGUAUUCCACCUGGGGAGUACGCCGGCAACGGUGAAACUCAAAGGAAUUGACGGGGGCCCGCACAAGCGGAGGAACAUGUGGUUUAAUUCGAUGAUACGCGAGGAACCUUACCCGGGCUUAAAUUGCAGUGGAAUGAUGUGGAAACAUGUCAGUGAGCAAUCACCGCUGUGAAGGUGCUGCAUGGUUGUCGUCAGCUCGUGCCGUGAGGUGUCGGCUUAAGUGCCAUAACGAGCGCAACCCUUAUCUUCAGUUACUAACAGGUCAUGCUGAGGACUCUGGAGAGACUGCCGUCGUAAGAUGUGAGGAAGGUGGGGAUGACGUCAAAUCAGCACGGCCCUUACGUCCGGGGCUACACACGUGUUACAAUGGGGGGUACAGAAGGCAGCUAGCGGGUGACCGUAUGCUAAUCCCAAAAUCCUCUCUCAGUUCGGAUCGAAGUCUGCAACCCGACUUCGUGAAGCUGGAUUCGCUAGUAAUCGCGCAUCAGCCACGGCGCGGUGAAUACGUUCCCGGGCCUUGUACACACCGCCCGUCAAGCCAUGGGAGCCGGGGGUACCUGAAGUACGUAACCGCAAG
This 1386-nucleotide ribosomal RNA is filed under the name Bacteroides fragilis. RNAcentral's name for it is "bacterial SSU rRNA". It matches the Rfam family "Bacterial small subunit ribosomal RNA". The record is from RNAcentral. Lineage: Bacteria; Pseudomonadati; Bacteroidota; Bacteroidia; Bacteroidales; Bacteroidaceae.